UUGAACGCUGGCGGCAUGCUUUACACAUGCAAGUCGAACGGCAGCGCGGGCUUCGACCUGGCGGCGAGUGGCGAACGGGUGAGUAAUACAUCGGAACGUGCCCAGUAGUGGGGGAUAGCUCGGCGAAAGCCGGAUUAAUACCGCAUACGACCUGAGGGUGAAAGCGGGGGAUCUUCGGACCUCGCGCUAUUGGAGCGGCCGAUGGCAGAUUAGCUAGUUGGUGGGGUAAAGGCCUACCAAGGCGACGAUCUGUAGCUGGUCUGAGAGGACGACCAGCCACACUGGGACUGAGACACGGCCCAGACUCCUACGGGAGGCAGCAGUGGGGAAUUUUGGACAAUGGGCGAAAGCCUGAUCCAGCAAUGCCGCGUGUGUGAUGAAGGCCUUCGGGUUGUAAAGCACUUUUGGCGGGAACGAAAAGGACUGUGCCAAUACCACGGUUCGAUGACGGUACCCGCAGAAUAAGCACCGGCUAACUACGUG
RNAcentral lists this ribosomal RNA (483 nucleotides) under uncultured bacterium. RNAcentral describes it as "partial 16S ribosomal RNA". It matches the Rfam family "Bacterial small subunit ribosomal RNA", at positions 29 to 507 of the family's 1533-position model. The record is from RNAcentral.